Molecule: ribosomal RNA, 342 nt
Filed under: Triticum aestivum (bread wheat)
Lineage: Eukaryota; Viridiplantae; Streptophyta; Magnoliopsida; Poales; Poaceae
Description: partial small subunit ribosomal RNA
Source: RNAcentral
AUGGAAUUUCCAGAAUAUUGGACAUGGCACCAACAAGGCAAAUACUGGGAUCAUCGUCGAGGUCCCCAAAAGAAAAUUGGCCGCAUUGCACAUGUCAACCCCGCACAGGGAGAUACUUUCUAUUUGCGAAUGUUGCUCAACGUUCGUAAAGGUCCAACCUCCUUCGCAGAUAUCCGGACUAUAUUAGGCCAAGAAUAUCCUACAUUCUGGGCAGCAUGUGAAGCUUUAGGUCUCCUAGGUGAUGACCAAGAGUGGUCAAAUGCAUUAAAAGAUGCAGCAAACUGGGCAUUGCCAUUCCAAUUACGUCAACUUUUUGUUACCCUAUUGCUUUUUUGCAAUGUC